This 993-nucleotide long non-coding RNA is filed under the name Pan troglodytes (chimpanzee). Its description in RNAcentral is "long non-coding RNA NONPTRT001612". Lineage: Eukaryota; Metazoa; Chordata; Mammalia; Primates; Hominidae. The record is from RNAcentral.
GAUGCAAUGUUACACUUUCUCAAGUACAUAGUAUCUGUCACCAUGACAAAGAACAAAGAUUCUCUUUUUGCUCAGAUGGCACAUGGUUUUAUUCUGUACCUGUAAAACAAAGAAAUGCCAAAGGCUUGGAGAGACAGUAUGUAAUAGUCACAACUGAUGACUUAGUCCACUUUUUUUUUCUUUACAGGGUUCAAAUUAUACCUUCUAGUUGGAAGAUCUUUAAGACAGUAUUUACUUUCUGAGUCUUAAAUAAAGCAGUUAUGUCUUCUGCCCUUGAUCCAGAAAAGUACUUUGAGCUUGGAUUGUUUCCUCUGUUCCCUAUUAUUGUUCCUUGAAGCAAGACAGGAAUAACUUGUUUUUCCCUUGAUUUAACAUUCCUGGAAACUGUAUUCUAAAGGAGUCAAUGGUGAGUCCAGGACCUCCUCCUGAUAGUGUUAAAAUUCAAGAUGACUUUCCAAGGACCUCAGAUUCCUUUAACAGAUCUUCCAGUAAUGGGUGUCCAGAGUUCCCUGUAGUCUAUAUUGAAGAUAAAACCAAAACCUAACCCUGAAAUUACAGUCUCAACACCUAGAGACAACAUAUUCAAGUGAAUUGCUGAAAUUGACCCAAAGGCAUUUUUUGUUGACUUUUGCACACUUUCCAAGAGGAAAGCAUGAAAGAACAGCUCAGUGCUGACAGCUCUUAAGCACCUCUUCAUCUCUAGUGGAAACACUCCUAUUUCCUUUUUGCAAUUAAACAGGAGAGAAAAAGUGAUACUUCAGAGAGAAAAAUAUAGAGAAGCAAAGCACCGUCUAGAAGUAUGAAACAAAUAAUGGUUGGCAAUAAAGGCCAGCAGGAAUUCAAAAUUAUUUUUACAACGAUCAAUUUAGAUUAAGUCCAUUUCCGGAAAACAGAACAAAGCCUUCAGGAUCUGAUUGUACCUGGUGUUGGGAAUGACUAGGUGGCUGAGGAAGUGGAAUCUGUGUUGGCAAACAGAAAUCUCAGUGGUCCUGU